GACGCCGGACCGAUCGCGUAUUUCUGCACCAAAAAUUUGCCACGAGUAAUUCAAUUUUAUAACAAUCACAUCUCUAGGUAGUUGGUACGCCGUCGGUAUAGCGUCUGCCGCGUUCGACCGUUAGUAUUUAUUUUAUUUUUCGUUGCCGGUACUGUUCCGUGGUACCGGCGGGCGGCGAACACCGCGAGCCGACGCGACCAAAAAUCGUUACGACUCGUGGGCGCGGUUUACUCCCUGCGCGGUUUCCAUGGUAUUACGAUGUUGACGGUACGACGUCAACGGCGUAAAAUAUAUUAUUAAAACAAUGAUAGGCGUCCUUCGAGACGUUAUCUUAUUAGUUAUUACUAGUUUGCCUUACGCGGCUCUGCUACAACUCAUAAACAAAUUAAAUUAAAUUAUUUUUACUAAGAUGCCCGCUACUCAGUUUCAUUUCUAUCGUGCUCGACCAGGCCGCUGGGUUCCUGAUUCAAUGGAACAAUCAACUGUCUCCGCGCUUUCGUCUUGAUAACUUGUUUCUGUACAUCAAUCAGAAUAUGAGCAGGAGAAAAUUCAAGACAGCAGCCAAACGUCCAAUAACACACACAAUAACAAUACUAAUCCGUUGUUUUCAUCAUCCAAUGUGGUCAUGGUAAUUGAAUCCUAAACAAAUACAUUUUUGUGUGCGUACUUCAGAUAUGUAAUUCCACUGAUCCUGUAGCAGCCUUACUAAUCCUAGAUGAAAUUGUUUUUAUAUACGUAUUCCAUGCAGUCUAAAUGUCUAAUUGCCGCAGUCUUGACACGUGUGUUUUGGAAAAAUAUUCGUGUCAAGGCUGAGAUAGUUAGACUGCUUGAAAUACGUGUAUAAAACGUCUAAUCUUGUCGUUAUGAUAUUACAUCAGAGGUGCCACUAGUUUGAACAAUUUAUGAGAUUAUCUGAAGUGUGUACAUGGAAAGAGGAGCUGUAUUGAGAUAAAAUAAUUACCUGACCCAACUAAGAAAUAAAUAAUAAUGUUGUUUUCUCUAUCUUUAUAAAAAUAAAUUCCCAUAAUAUAAAUACAUUACAGAUUAUAUAAAUAUGAUCACAUUUAUUUAUGUAGAAAUUAACUCAGUUAUUUUUCAAUAUAUUUGUACCAUUUUAACAAAGCCAAUAAUUAAAUGAAUUGUGUUCAUAAUAAUUUAGUUUUGUGUUUUUAUUUUUUAAUUCAUACUUGUUGUAAGACCUUGUUGGUCGUUAACUGAACAACGAUUCAUUACCUGGAUUUUAUUGAAAAAUGUUUAAUAUACUAGAAGUAAGAAUGUC
Myzus persicae (green peach aphid) is the source of this 1279-nucleotide long non-coding RNA. RefSeq lists it as uncharacterized. NCBI's taxonomy places the organism in Eukaryota, Metazoa, Arthropoda, Insecta, Hemiptera, Aphididae. The transcript is spliced from 2 exons. The record is from RefSeq and is a predicted model, not a curated record.